UAGAAAAAUAAACUUUUGUGC
RNAcentral lists this non-coding RNA (21 nucleotides) under Caenorhabditis elegans. The record is from RNAcentral. Lineage: Eukaryota; Metazoa; Nematoda; Chromadorea; Rhabditida; Rhabditidae.